This 243-nucleotide small RNA is filed under the name Cryptococcus neoformans H99. RNAcentral's name for it is "Cryptococcus neoformans var. grubii H99 hypothetical RNA". The record is from RNAcentral. Lineage: Eukaryota; Fungi; Basidiomycota; Tremellomycetes; Tremellales; Cryptococcaceae.
UUUCUCUUGGCUUCCUAGUUCUGGCAGUGACCUGUACGUACAGUCCCAUACGUUAUGCCGGCUGUAUACGUACGACAAACGGACUUCCUUAUUAGCAUCCUGCCAACUUAAAAUGCAAGAAAAGCAAAAAGUGUGUGGUGGAGGCUCAUGUCAUCGACAACCUCGUUUUUCAUUCAGUUUAGCGUCCGGGUUCUCUGUUCUUUUGCCUGUAUAUGCAUAUAUGCUUUAUGCGACAUUGUUCAU